RNAcentral lists this long non-coding RNA (4572 nucleotides) under Selaginella moellendorffii. RNAcentral describes it as "long non-coding RNA (SMOE_LNC000246)". The record is from RNAcentral. Lineage: Eukaryota; Viridiplantae; Streptophyta; Lycopodiopsida; Selaginellales; Selaginellaceae.
CCAAGAGCCAGCACCUCAUUGUGCUUAAUCUGGACAGGUACAUGUUUAAGUAGCAUAAGCUACAACAAGAGAUAAAAUUUCAAAUGUACUAAACAAAUGUUGAGUUUUAUUUCUUGACAAUCCCUUGUUACAGCUAAAACGACGGCAGUGCCUUGCUUUCGAUAAAGUGUUGGAACAAGGUAAGUGCCUGGCCAGGUUUGUCAACUGGAGGCUGAUGUUUUCGACAUGACCCCGCACAGAUGCCACACCAAAGUGUAUUCUAAGGGUCAUGAAUACGUACUCGAGCGUGGACGGGGUCAACAUUCUUCACGUAAAGAGUCAUCUCCAGGUCAGCUUUUCUCUGUUUUUUCUGUUAUUUUUUGUUUUUUUUUUUGUUUGGUUUUUGUUUUUUGGUUUUAUUGGUCGGAUUGGCUUCUAUUUAUACUUUUUAAUUUAAAAUAUUUUUUACAGAAGUACAGGCUAGUCAAAGAUCUUCCACCCAGCCCCGUUGGUACGAAUGAUCAACUGUUUUUUUCUUUCUUCUGUUUUUUUUUUUUUUGCUUUUGGAUGGUCCAAUAUUUUGUGCGUUUUUGGCCCACAGCAAAACAGCAGCAAUCUAAGCAAUGUUCGCUGGAGCUCCCAUCAUUGAACGUAGAAACGUACGUUAUACGUAGUACUUGACUAGGAAAACUCUUUGAAAACUCUUUUCACCUUUUAUUUAUUUUAACUUGUUUCUCUCUUUCUCAGUGGGCUGCAGAUCACCGAGACACUGCGCUUGCAGCUCGAAGUCCAAAAGCAACUCCACGAACAGCUCGAGGUUCUCUGCACAAAUUUCUCGAACUAUACAUUUGAUGGUCUAAUCGAAUUGUGCUCGUAAACCUUGGCAGAUUCAAAGAGAUUUGCAGAAGAAGAUCGAGGACCACGGAAGAUAUCUCGAGAGAAUGUACAGCAAGACGGAGGAGGCGACGCGAUCGUGUCACAAGAAUUCGGACGAGCCCUCGCCCGGUCCUCAAGAACAAGAACAGCGCAAACACCAUCAAACUUGCGACGAUCAGAUCCACCAAGCCUCGGGUACCACGACGAGCACGGCCGAUUCGUUCCAGCCGCCACUCAAGAAAUUAAAACCAUCGCAAGAACAGGAGGAGCUCCAACCCGUGGGAGACGAGGACGUCGAUUUUUCCGAACUCUGGAAGUUCACAUGAAGAAAAAAUAUUUUGUCAGGAAUGGGAAUCGAACCCAUGCCCUUGCGGACUAGUACCUGAAACUAGCGCCUUAGACCAACUCGGCCAUCCUGACUUUACGUGUAAAUACCACCAUGGUGUCAGUAUUUCACUGGAAAUACUUUUACUUUUUGGUUUAAAGUAUAGUAUGAUUCUCCAUUAGGGUUUAUGGAAUGGCGGCUCUGGCUCCCUCGUCCGGCAGCAUUGCUGUAGCUCCGCGAUCUAGGGCGGCGCACUUCGCUGUGAGGAUCCCGAUCUCGAGAGCGAGUAGAGUGGCGGCGAUGGCUUGCUCCUCGUCCGGGAAUGUAGCAGCAAUCGCCAGCGAGCAGGCGCAUUCUAGCGCUCAGCGAUCAGUGGCAGAAGCUCAACAAGGUGGUUCUAGCGUACAGUGGGGGCUUGGACACGUCCGUGAUCGUGCCGUGGCUCAGGUAAUUUGGAUCUCAUGCAGCGAUUUCUUCUUUGGAUUGAGAGUUUUGGCUUUGUUUUACUGGAUCAGGGAGAACUAUGGCUGCGUGUGUUUCACAGCUGAUGUUGGGCAAGUAAGUCGAUCUCGUGUUUUUUGUUCUGCCGAUUCUUAGCAUUUCUUUUUUUCUUCCUUGCCACUCUGUUCUGUGAUUUCCAGGGCCUGGGCGAGCUCGAAUGGUUGGAAGCUAAAGCGAAGGCAAGCGGUGCAAGCCAGCUGAUCAUCAAGGACUUGAAAGAAGAGUUUGUGAAAGACUUUAUCUUCCCUUGCUUGCGAGCUGGUGCCGUGUACGAGAGGAAGUAUCUGCUUGGAACUUCGAUGGCUCGCCCUGUAAUUGCAAAGGCAAGUUUGUGAAAGUGAGGAACUGCUGUAUGGUCAUUGAGCUUGUGCUGGUUUUUGUGCAGGCCAUGGUUGAUGCUGCAAAGGAAGUUGGAGCUGAUGCCGUUUCUCACGGUUGCACAGGGAAAGGGAACGAUCAGGUAACAAAGUUUCGUGCUUUUUUUCUCCUCUCUUCGUAUACAUGAGAAGUGGUUUCCUCGUGUUUCUGUAGGUGAGAUUCGAGCUAACGUUCUUCGCAUUGAACCCGAAGCUAGCUGUUGUUGCGCCCUGGAGAGAAUGGGACAUAAAAGGCCGCGAAGACGCCAUAGAGUAUGCAAAGAAGCACAACGUACCCGUGCCCGUGACGAAGAAAUCUAUCUACAGCCGAGACCGCAAUCUCUGGCACAUUAGACAUGAGGUAUCGCAAAUCUCCUUUUUGUUUCGUGACUUAACGACGAGCGACCUCUUUUCCAGGGAGACAUUCUCGAGGACCCCGCGAACGAACCCAAGGAGGACAUGUUUGUCAUGACUACAAAUCCAGAGAAAGCUCCUGAUACGCCAGAGUAAGCUCUCCCUCAGUCUCUUUCACUGAAAGAAAUCUCUUCGUUCCAGGUACCUGGAGAUCAGUUUCGAGAGAGGCCUUCCAGUCUCGGUGAACGGCAAGGCUCUGUCCCCCGCCAAACUCCUGGAAGCGCUCAACGAUGCCGGAGCCAGGCACGGCAUCGGGAGAGUGGACAUGGUGGAGAACAGGCUCGUCGGUAUGAAGAGCCGCGGAGUGUACGAGACGCCCGGUGGAACCAUCCUGAGCCUAGCAGCGCGGGAGCUGAGUCGCUGGCGCUGGAUCGCGAGACGAUGCAGAUGAAAGACACGAUGGCGCUCAAGUACGCGGAGCUGGUGUACGCGGGGCGAUGGUUUGAUCCUCUCCGGGAGUCGCUGGACGCCUUCAUGGAGAAGGUGACGGAGACGACGAGCGGCAGUGUCAAGCAAAAGCUGUUCAAGGGGUCGGCGGUGGUGGCCAGCCGGACCAGCCCCUUCAGCCUCUACAGGCAGGACAUAUCUUCGUUCGAGGAGGGCAGUGGGAUCUACAACCAGGGUGACGCUGCCGGAUUCAUCCGCUUGUAUGGCCUUCCCACUCGCGUCCGAGCAAUGCUUCUGGAGAAAUGAGAGAAAGAACAGGUAUGAAAGUUCUUCGUUGUUUUGAUGUUGUUCUUGUGUUUUUGAUAUCCGGAGUGGAAGAAUCGAAUGCUUUGCAAUGUUUCUUGGGAACUGAAAGAAAGUUAUGGAAGUUGUUUGUGUUCUAAGUUUGAGGAAUCAAAUGCUUUGAUUUACAAGCUAGAGCUCUUUUUCCGAUCUAAGUUGUGCUUCUCUAUCCAUCUCUCAAACGCAGCAACGUCGCGAUUCUUCCACGCGAUGGAUCCUUUCGGUGGAAGAUGAGGCAGCACAAAUCUUUCAUAUGCCUCCACGAAUUCCAUGGAGUCUGUCGACGUCGCAAGGUUCACGUCCUUCUCCUUGCUUCCACCGCUGAGAACACCAACAAAGUAUCCUGGAAGAUUUGCAGGAACGAUCGGACCUCCGCUGCUACCAUCCAGAACCGAGGCACUGAUCUCCAGCCUCGAUCCGGCCGAGCUCUCCAAACACCCCGGCCAGCACAGGAGCUCUCCGGUUCUAAAGUCCGCGAACGUUUCCUUGAGCCGAUCAAAGAGCUCCUCCUUGGUGGCGAUGUCCAUCUUCUUCGUCGCCACCUCGCGGUAGCGCUCCCACACGCCGUGCUCCGCGGUGCCAAGCACCAGCUCCUCGCUCGUCAUGCUCAAGAGCUCCACCAUGGAAGGAUACGAGAACGCCGCCACGAAAGGCCGCGAGGCGGGAACUUCGCCGGGAGAGCAAGGCAGGAAGAAGGAUCCAUCACUCUCGGCGCUGGCGGCCUCGAAGCACGAGAAAUCCUCGCUCGCCACCAACGCCCGAGCCGCGCAAUCGAAUCCAGUGCCGCGGAAGGAGUUUGGAGUGACGAAAGCGCCAAGACAACCAAGAACACUACCAUGAUCGGCUGAUACAUAGCUGGCCGAGAGCGCGAUCUGUGAUCGCCCUCCAUCGAUCGAAAGGGCGGCGUGACAAAGAAACCGCUAAAGAAUCUCGUGAGUUGAGCGUCUAGCACGAUAUCUAUCCCCAGAGUGGGAUCUCUCGCGAAUGGGCGAGAAGGGCUGUCAGCUCCAGGCUCGUGAUCGAUCACCACCGACUUGGUAAACUAUCAAAUAAAAAUGAAUUUGAAGCUGAACUGAAAAAGAAUUUGAUAUUCCAACUUAAACCACAUGUUCAAGUAAUAUAAGCUAGAGCAAAAGAUAAAUUUCACAUGUACUUGUUGAGUUUUAUUUCUUGACAAUCCCUUAAUACAACUAAAACGAUGGCAGUGCCUUGCCUUCGAUAAAGUGUUGGAACAAGGCAAGUGACUCGCCAGGUUUGUCAAAUGGAGGCUGAUGUCCAGCACCUCUUACUGUCGCAAAUGUCAUUUCUGAGUACACUUCUGUCCAUCCACCAACCUGCAGUUUAAAAGAGUUGUCUAAUAUACUCCUGGCACUCAACAAAAUUUAGUUGACG